Ictalurus punctatus (channel catfish) is the source of this 884-nucleotide long non-coding RNA. The record is from Ensembl. NCBI's taxonomy places the organism in Eukaryota, Metazoa, Chordata, Actinopteri, Siluriformes, Ictaluridae.
CCCAUGAAUAUUAACAGCAGCAAAAAUCUUAAAAUAAAACAAUAUGUAUGUUUACAUUUAAAAUAUCUCACAAUGUACAAUGAUUUUAUACAUAAUUUCUGCUUAAUUUCAUGAGCCAAUAAUCACGAAGAUGAUUGUCUCUAUAGAUAUGCAUAAAAUGAAUAAAUGUUUGGCCCUGACCUUCUGGCUGAGUCCUCUCCUCCUGAGUCUGCGUUUGCUCUCUGUGCUGGUGACGAGCAGCAGCAGACAGACGAUCAGCACAAACCGGCUUGGGAUCGGAGCUCCUGCCAUGGUCCUUCUCCUUCACUUGCUCUUCUCUUCUCUCUUCUCGCUCUCCUCUCGACUCCCACGCUUUGAAGUUUCGUCGUGCUGUCAAGACUCUUGACAAUUUUUUUUGUCUCUGUGUGUUUACACUGCGGUUUCCCUUUGGAGUUUGUGUAGUUCUGCUGCUCCAUGCUCCCAACCUGCUGCUGCUCCAGCUGGACUCAACCAGAUGGAGCUGGACGGAGCAGAUGCCAUGGGGGUUGCGAGGAACCUGGAGCCUAUUGCAGGGAACUCGGGGAACAAGGCUGGGGACACCCUGAAUAGUGUGCCAAUCCAUUGCAGAGCACAAUCAUACACUCACUCACACAUUACGGACCGUGUGGAAAUGCCAAUCAGCCUACAGCGCACGUAUUUGGACUGGGGAGGAAACCAGAGUACCCGGAAGAAACCCCCGAAGCACGGGGGGAAUAUGCAAAAUCCACGCACACAGGGUGGAGGCCGAAAUCGAUCCCCAACCCUAGAGGUGUGAGGCAGACGUGCUACCCACUGGGCCGCUGUGUUUCCCUCACUAUUAUAUCAUUUCAUUAUUUUUGGAAGCAUCUUUCCUUUACACUUCAUAG